GUGGUUAAGCCGCAAUGGAAGGCGGCGAUUGAUUUCAAGUGGAUAAGGGAUAAUAAGGAUGCGGUUGCUUUGAACAUAAAGAACAGGAACUCCAAUGCUAAUUUGGAACUUGUGCUUGAGAUCUAUGAGAAAAUGUUGGCUGUCCAAAAGGUCAGAUUUGACGCAUUUCCCCCUUUUCCUUAAUCUACAAUUACAAAAUAUGCUUGGAUUUUUUUUUCUACCUAUUUGGUUUCUGGGAAAACUUCCUUUCUUAAGAAAGUUGGUUCCUUCUCAAAAAUUUUAUGAUGCUUGUUUGAAAAUCCUGCCGUCACUUUUAUUCGGACGAAAACAGUGUUUAGGAGAGUCCAGCUUCUUCUUCUUCUUCUUCUUAUUUCCGUUUUGGAUUUCGUGAAGACAUAUUGCAAUAUUACUGUUUAUAUGAUGAUUACGCAUUGUUCAGAAAUGUGAGUGUCCAAUCAACUAGACGACUGCUUGCAGCUGCUGCUUAUUCUCGUUUGGCAAGUGCUUACUUUUUUAGGUGCUUAUGUUCCAGUAAUGCUGCUCCCUUGCAGGCUCUUAAAAGUGGGAAAGAAGUUUUAGCAGCCUCUAGAAUGCAUGAGCAUGAUGCUACACAACUGAAUUUAGAGGUCCAAAAUACCGCCAGUGAUAAAAAUUGUGAUUUUUUAGUCAACUAGUGUCUGUUGCACGUAUGGGCUUUAGAGUCAGGAGGCAUGUUGGUUUGGCAUAAAAACUAAAGAUAAUAAAAUUAUUGGUAAAAUGGUAAUUUAACAAGAUAAAAAUAAGUUUGCUUCUCAAUUUUAUCUAAUUGUCACUCCCAGAUAGCAGGAAGUUGAAAGGCUUCGUGGGGAAAGAAAUGCCGUAGCGAACAAGAUGAAAGGAAAGCUAGAG
This 888-nucleotide unclassified non-coding RNA is filed under the name Hevea brasiliensis (rubber tree). The record is from RNAcentral. Lineage: Eukaryota; Viridiplantae; Streptophyta; Magnoliopsida; Malpighiales; Euphorbiaceae.